UGAUACGGAGGCCCUGAGGUGCAAAACACAACAGCAAAUCAGAAAACACAACAACAAAUCAGAAAACACGAUGGCAAAAGAGAAAACACAACAGCAAUAACCAAACCGGAAAACAUAGGUACCCUCUUUUUGUCUUGUGUUUUCUCUUUUUGUGUUGUGUUUUGUGAUUUGCCGUUGUGUUUUGCACCUCAGGGCCACCGCAGU
This is a non-coding RNA of Xyrichtys novacula (pearly razorfish), 204 nucleotides long. The record is from the annotation of a GenBank genome assembly. NCBI's taxonomy places the organism in Eukaryota, Metazoa, Chordata, Actinopteri, Labriformes, Labridae.